UUCGUAGGUGGUGCGGCAAGUUGGAAGUGAAAUCUCUGGGCUUAACUUAGAGGCUGCUUUCAAAACUGCCGUGCUCGAGUGCGAGAGAGGUCAGUGGAAUUGCAGGUGUAGCGGUGAAAUGCGUAGAUAUCUGCAGGAACACCCGUGGCGAAGGCGGCUGACUGGAUCGCAACUGACACUGAGGAACGAAAGCUAGGGGAGCAAACAGGAUUAGAUACCCUGGUAGUCCUAGCCCUAAACCAUCAGAACUUGGGGUGGCCCGCGUAGGCGGGUCGUCCCGUAGCUAACGCGUUAAGUUCUGCGCCUGGGGAGUACGGUCGCAAGACUGAA
Molecule: ribosomal RNA, 330 nt
Filed under: uncultured bacterium
Lineage: Bacteria
Description: bacterial SSU rRNA
Rfam family: Bacterial small subunit ribosomal RNA
Source: RNAcentral